AGGCUCAUUAGAUUCGUCUCGCGAUUUACAGCCCAUCCAUGCAAAAAGUUUUAUAAAUAGAUUUCAUUUAGUACUUCAAAUUAGCAAGAUUUCUUUUCACUUUAAUGCAUUUACGGUUUUUUUGCAUUUACAUGUAAAGAAGGGCCUCAAUUAGUUCUGUUCUGUAUGACUGUAAAGGAAUGACAGCCUUGUAUACGAGAUUCUUACCUUCUAGGCAAGUUAUCCGAAGCUUCCAACAUUAAACAAUGCAGCAAUUUGCAAUAGAGAACACUGACCGUCUGAAACUCACAGAUUAUUUGAUUACUAUAUACAGUAUGUGCUAUAAUCACAGUUGCUAAUGAUUGCAUUCAACUUAGCCCUCACUAAUGAAUCUCGUUUUGAGAAUCAGGAGGAAUACAGGGACGGGAGUAUGGGACCGCUGAUUCGCAAAACACCUGAACACAGACAACCUCCUCAAGAAAGUAACCUGACAAGUGGGCCCAAAAUGCUAGCGUCAGCAAAGCCCCCGCGUCGCAGGGGGGUCAAGCCGAAAUUCCUACAAGGGGAAGGGGAUUGCUUCGUAUAAUUCCUACUGUACUUCCUUUUACCGCCGGCACCGAAUCCCCCCUUCCCCCGGGUUAUUUACAUAUUUACCAUUAUAAGAAAGGUCACUCGCUGGAUUAGCACUCUUAAACGGGCUCCUACAGAUUUAGCACAACUGUAGUCGUAAAUCUUACGUUUUUACCACUUUUGCCUACGUGGCAGGACACGGCGGCAGGCCACGUUGGCGCCCGGUCCGCAAGGCGAGGCGAAAUGUCCUUUGUGCCCCCGCCCCUUUGUUCAUGUGCCCGUGACCCCGGUCCAGCCCGUUGACCGCUCCCACUCUCCUCACCCCCCUCUCGCUAUCCCGCCGCCGCCGACGCGCCUUUCUUCCCCACUGCGCCGCCGCCGCCGCCGCCUCUCCCGUCCCGCCUCCCCCAGCGCAACGGCGGCCAGGGCUAUGGCGCAGAGGGCCGACUAAGGGCAAGGCGUGUGAUGUAAUAGGUCGCCAUCUCCCGUGGCCGCAAUGGAUCCUGGUGAUUGUCCUCCCUGAUACAAAUAAAUGAGGGACAACAUCAGUGUGCAUCUACACAAAGAGUUCUGAGCAAGAUGGCAUCAAUAAACUGGGUGGCAGAGAGAGCUAUUCCAUUGCUCAAGAUGAACCCAACAAUGGGGGCUUCAGAAACGCAAAAGCAGUUGAGAUUCAAAUACAACAUUGAAAUCCCCUACCAGACAGUGUACAAUGGGACAAAGAGAGCAUCUGAGAGAAUUUUUGGUAAGUGGACUGAUUCCUUUGAUUGGUUGUACAGGUUUAAGGCAGAGAUAGAACUGAGAUCUCCAGGCAGUGUGGUAGAGAUAGACACUGUCACUGAUGAGGAUGGCAAGGGAAGCUGCUGCAAAAGCAAAGAGAGAUGCAGAAGAAGCAGAACUGAAGGCAGCAGCAGCAAGGGAAGCAGCAGAAGCAGCAGCAAGGGAAGAGGUUGAAGCUACCAGGAAUGAAUUUGCAUCAUCUGUCCCUGAGCCAAGUGAAGAAGCAGCCCUUGAACCUAUGGCUUUGGCAGUGAUUAAUGCCCCAGAACCAAUUCAGACAACCCCCCCAGCAAAAAGGGCACUAUUCUCAGAUGGUGAACAUGGCAAGAAACUUACACCAAAGAGGAAGGCCUUGGCAACUAAAGUGAAAAAAACACCACCUAAGAAGAAAGCACGCAAGAGCAAGUGAGGAGUGAGUAGUGAGAAGUGAGCAGUGACGCUAGUGUCUUUUGUGGUGUAUGAUUGGCCAAAUUACUGUAUUUUACAUGGCCUUUGGCAACUUCUGUGUUGUAAAGUGAACUCCAUGUAUUCUCUGUUGGGAACAUUCUCUGUUGGUCAUCUUUUCUGUUCGUCAUUCAAAUUACCUCAUUUCAUUUGCUCAAUUCAAUUUGCAUUCAAAAGCAGUAGAGCACUUUACAAACUAGACAUGAACACACUCUACAUCAGUUCAUUGCAACAGAUUUUACCACAAACGCCAAUACAACUACUGCAAUACAACCAAUGAAAAUGUUCAUUUUCCACAUCAGUCUCUCCAUCUUGUUCUCCAGUUGUUUCAUCCCCUCAUCUACAACAGGUGCUUCAUCCUCUCCAUGUUCAUCAAUCUGCUGGCAGCAUAUCCUGACGAUCUUCUUCUCCACCAGCUCAUCCAAAUACUCCCUCUGAAACCUAUAGAAGCCACACAGCUUCGGAUUCUGCAAAAAAACGAUGAACAUUGAAACCCUACGUUUCAUUGAAAAUGGAGAAAAACUCACAACUUACCCCAUUUCUCGGGCAUUUGAAGAAGAUGCUCCCCUUGUUCUGACUUUCCAGCUUCACCACGCGAAGCUCAAUCACCCGGGCAAGAUCGCAAUCGGGGCACACGAUCAAAGGCAGCCCAGUCUCUUUACCGACCGGAUGCUGCUCGCACACGGAGCUCACUCCUCUCACCUGCCUCCUAGUUGCCCUACUCGCGCUGGAGCUGGAGGAGUCGGCCCUCUGCGCCAUAGCCCUGGCCGCCGUUGCGCUGGGGGAGGCGGGACGGGAGAGGCGGCGGCGG
Long non-coding RNA from Panicum virgatum (switchgrass), 2584 nucleotides. RefSeq lists it as uncharacterized. The record is from RefSeq and is a predicted model, not a curated record. The transcript is spliced from 4 exons. NCBI's taxonomy places the organism in Eukaryota, Viridiplantae, Streptophyta, Magnoliopsida, Poales, Poaceae.